Molecule: ribosomal RNA, 342 nt
Filed under: Chaetozone sp. 163 PB
Lineage: Eukaryota; Metazoa; Annelida; Polychaeta; Terebellida; Cirratulidae
Description: partial 16S ribosomal RNA
Rfam family: Bacterial large subunit ribosomal RNA
Source: RNAcentral
ACCCUCUAGGUGAAAAGGCCUAGAUAACAAAAAAAGACAAGAAGACCCUGUAGAGCUUCACUCUAAAAGUGCCCACAACAAUAAUUUUAUACGCCACCACACACUUAAGAGUUUGGUUGGGGCGACAAAGGAACACCCAAAACAUCCUUUCUUACUUAGGCCCCUCCGCCUCCAAAUGAGCCAUUUACCCAUGACCAGAAAAUAUAGCUACCUCAGGGAUAACAGACUAAUCCCCCUUAAGAGCCCAAAUUGACAGGGGGGCUUAGCACCUCGAUGUUGGCUUAGGACAGCCAUCUAAGUGCAGACGCUUUUACGGCAGGUUUGUUCACCCUUUAAAAUCCU